CGGCGAGCGAAAAGAAAAUAGUUCAGCACUAAGUCACAUUGCUGUAAUGGCAAUUGUGAGAUGCAGUGUAUGGAAUAUCUUAAUUCUAGCAUGAGAAAUUAAUGAUUUAAGUCCUUCUUAAAUGAGGCCAUUUACCCACAGAGGGUGCCAGGCCCGUAUAACAUUAAUGAUUGUUAGAAGAUAUUUCCAAAGAGUCGUGUUGCUUGAUAGUGCAGCACUAAGUGGGUGGUAAACUCCAUCUAAAACUAAAUAUAACCAUGAGACCGAUAGUAAACAAGUACCGUGAGGGAAAGUUGAAAAGAACUCUGAAUAGAGAGUUAAAUAGUACGUGAAACUGCUUAGAGGUUAAGCCCGAUGAACCUGAAUAUCUAAUAUAAAGAAUUCAUCAUUAUGAUAAUGAUAACUUUAAAAAAUUAUCAUUAGAAUAGUGUGCAUUUUCUUUUAUAUAAAAUAGACAUUGUAAUCUAUUAAUAUUAUCAUUAAUUUAUCAUAAGAUCAUAAUGCUUAUGUUUGUUUCAAUUAAUAUUUUAUUAUAUUAACAUAAAACGAAUGCAAUUUGAUUUGAUAAAGUGUUGAUAGAUUUAAUCAUAUGUAUAAUGCAUAAAUUUCAAUUUGGAAUUUUAUAAAUUAUUACAAUUUAUAGGCAUUUAUACGAUUAACAAUGCGCAAGAUUCAGGAUACCUUCGGGACCCGUCUUGAAACACGGACCAAGGAGUCUAACAUAUGUGCAAGCUUUUGGGAAACAAUCAAAUUGUAAAACCCUUAAGCAUAAUUAACUUAACUUUUGAUGGGAUUAAUUUUUUGAUAGUUUUACUAUCAUUUAAUACAAUCCCAGGGCGUUCUAAUACAGUUAUGUAUAAUGGUAUUUUUUAAAUAUCUAUUUAUGCCUCUAACUAGAGCGUACCUUGAGCAUUUAUGCUGUGACCCGAAAGAUGGUGAACUAUACUUGAUCAGGUUGAAGUCAGGGGAAACCCUGAUGGAAGACCGAAACAGUUCUGACGUGCAAAUCGAUUGUCAGAAUUGAGUAUAGGGGCGAAAGACCAAUCGAACCAUCUAGUAGC
Molecule: ribosomal RNA, 1061 nt
Filed under: Agromyza pseudoreptans
Lineage: Eukaryota; Metazoa; Arthropoda; Insecta; Diptera; Agromyzidae
Description: eukaryotic LSU rRNA
Rfam family: Eukaryotic large subunit ribosomal RNA
Source: RNAcentral